Molecule: ribosomal RNA, 300 nt
Filed under: uncultured Novosphingobium sp.
Lineage: Bacteria; Pseudomonadati; Pseudomonadota; Alphaproteobacteria; Sphingomonadales; Sphingomonadaceae
Description: bacterial SSU rRNA
Rfam family: Bacterial small subunit ribosomal RNA
Source: RNAcentral
CGCGUGGGAAGUCUGCCCUUCGGUUCGGAACAACGAGUUAGAAAUGACUGCUAAUACCGGAUAAUGACGUAAGUCCAAAGAUUUAUCGCCGAAGGAUGAGCCCGCGUAGGAUUAGCUAGUUGGUAAGGUAAAAGCUUACCAAGGCGACGAUCCUUAGCUGGUCUGAGAGGGAUGAUCAGCCACACUGGGACUGAGACACGGCCCAGACUCCUACGGGAGGCAGCAGUGGGGAAUAUUGGACAAUGGGCGAAAGCCUGAUCCAGCAAUGCCGCGUGAGUGAUGAAGGCCUUAGGGUUGUAA